This 1016-nucleotide unclassified non-coding RNA is filed under the name Haliotis rufescens (red abalone). RNAcentral's name for it is "uncharacterized LOC124147880, transcript variant X2". Lineage: Eukaryota; Metazoa; Mollusca; Gastropoda; Lepetellida; Haliotidae. The record is from RNAcentral.
CGGGUGUUGACCACGGAGGCAAACUCAACCAUGGCAGCUGUACUGAAACUGUGUGUGGUCCUCAUCUGUCUUGGACUGGUGGAGUCAUUCGUCUGGGUCUGCCACUGUGUUGAGUGCAAAAUAACGGAGCGUGUCUCGAGGAAAGAACCAAUAUGGAAAUAUACAAAGUAUUCUCAAAGAUAUACCACAAUUUGUGGCUUUUUGGGAUGGGGAAGGUGUGCCAGAUACCGCUAUAUGAGGUUUAAGGAGAAGUCUUAUUGGCCCUGUGUAUUAUACGUAGCAUACGAUGUUACGACUGGUUAAACGUUUGAGGCGGCCUUCACAUAUACCAGUCUGGUGUUGUCCACGGAGGCAAAACAUCCAUGGCAGCUGUACUGAAACUGUGCGUGGUCCUCAUCUGUCUUGGACUGGUGGAGUCACUCGUCGGGGACUGCUUCUGUGACAAGUGCAAAGUAACGGAGCGUGUCUCGUUCAAGAAACCAAUAUGGAAAUAUACAACGUAUUCUCAAAGAUAUACCACAAGUUGUGGCUUUUGGAGAUUGGAAAGGUGUAACAGAUACCGAACCGGCUAUAGGAGAACUUGCACUGGCUAUGCCAUUGGUUACAAGAAUGUCGUGUCUUGUCGACCCGGUUGCACGUGUUCAGGGCCUUAAGGCAAACCCCAACUCCGUGACGGAUCCCAAAUGGUUAACUGAAUUUUCUGGAAUCAAAGCCAUACCGAACCAGAUCGUGAAUACACCCUGCCUUGUCCUGUCACCAACAUUCUCUACAAGAUCAACAUCAAAGUUGUAGUGCAGUAUAGAAUUUUAGAAAAUAUUUAUACAUAUAAUGAUAAAAUGGUCGUAAAGACAAUGAUUUUGUGAAAGUUAUUCCAAAGCGUUCAGACCAGAGAAACAAUUUACAACAUAGAUGUACAGACACCCAAAGUAGAAGACAUGACAUGUCAAUAUUUUUAUUUUAAGUGUUUAAACAUAUUAUUUUUCUAGUUUUCUAUUAAAAGACUGCAGUGUCAGGUU